UUAGCUCAGUUGGUUAGAGCAUGGUGCUAAUAAUGCCAAGGUCAGGGUUAGAUCCCCAGA
RNAcentral lists this transfer RNA (60 nucleotides) under Lepidothrix coronata (blue-crowned manakin). It matches the Rfam family "tRNA", at positions 7 to 64 of the family's 71-position model. Rfam says of the family: Transfer RNA (tRNA) molecules are approximately 80 nucleotides in length. Their secondary structure includes four short double-helical elements and three loops (D, anti-codon, and T loops). Lineage: Eukaryota; Metazoa; Chordata; Aves; Passeriformes; Pipridae. RNAcentral also lists the same sequence under 2 other names. The record is from Rfam by way of RNAcentral.